RNAcentral lists this ribosomal RNA (301 nucleotides) under uncultured bacterium. RNAcentral's name for it is "partial 16S ribosomal RNA". It matches the Rfam family "Bacterial small subunit ribosomal RNA", at positions 509 to 807 of the family's 1533-position model. The record is from RNAcentral.
CAGCCGCCGCGGGAAUACGAAGGGGGCUAGCGUUGUUCGGAUUUACUGGGCGUAAAGCGUGCGUAGGCGGCUUCUUAAGUCGGAUGUGAAAUCCCUGAGCUUAACUUAGGAAUUGCAUUCGAUACUGGGAAGCUAGAGUAUGGGAGAGGAUGGUAGAAUUCCAGGUGUAGCGGUGAAAUGCGUAGAGAUCUGGAGGAAUACCGAUGGCGAAGGCAGCCAUCUGGCCUAAUACUGACGCUGAGGUACGAAAGCAUGGGGAGCAAACAGGAUUAGAUACCCCUGUAGUCCCUGUCUCUUAUAC